AUUGAACGCUGGCGGCAUGCUUUACACAUGCAAGUCGAACGGUAACAGGCCGCAAGGUGCUGACGAGUGGCGAACGGGUGAGUAAUGCAUCGGAACGUGCCCAGUCGUGGGGGGUAACUACUCGAAAGAGUAGCUAAUACCGCAUACGAUCUAUGGAUGAAAGCGGGGGACCGUAGGGCCUCGCGCGAUUGGAGCGGCCGAUGUCAGAUUAGGUAGUUGGUGGGGUAAAGGCUCACCAAGCCAACGAUCUGUAGCUGGUCUGAGAGGACGACCAGCCACACUGGGACUGAGACACGGCCCAGACUCCUACGGGAGGCAGCAGUGGGGAAUUUUGGACAAUGGGCGCAAGCCUGAUCCAGCAAUGCCGCGUGCAGGAAGAAGGCCUUCGGGUUGUAAACUGCUUUUGUACGGAACGAAACGGCUCUGGUUAAUACCCGGGGCUAAUGACGGUACCGUAAGAAUAAGCACCGGCUAACUGCGUG
This 482-nucleotide ribosomal RNA is filed under the name uncultured bacterium. RNAcentral's name for it is "partial 16S ribosomal RNA". It matches the Rfam family "Bacterial small subunit ribosomal RNA", at positions 30 to 507 of the family's 1533-position model. The record is from RNAcentral.